This 732-nucleotide ribosomal RNA is filed under the name uncultured eukaryote. Its description in RNAcentral is "bacterial SSU rRNA". It matches the Rfam family "Eukaryotic small subunit ribosomal RNA", at positions 671 to 1426 of the family's 1831-position model. The record is from RNAcentral.
GGGUUGUACUGCCUGCGCCUGGCCUUUCCUUCUAGGGAUCUGUGGUGCUCUUAGCUGAGUGCUGCAGGGAACUAGGACUUUUUACUUUGAAAAAAUUAGAGUGUUUAAGCACGCCUUUGCUUGAAUACUUCAGCAUGGAGAGUAAUAAGUAUAGGACUCUUGGUGUUAUUUUGUUGGUUUCUAGGACCGAAGUAUGAUUUAUAGGGAUAGUUGGGGGCGUUAGUAUUUUAUUGUCUGAGAUGAAAUCUUGGAUAUUUGAGAGAGUAAAAUUCUGCGAGAAGCGUUGCCACGGAUGUUUUCUCUUAUCUAGAACGAAAGUUAGGGGAUCGAAGACGAUUAGAGACCGUGGUAGUCUCUACCCAUAAAAUAUGCCGACUCGGGAUCGGACGAUGUUAUCAUGACUCUUUCGGCACCGUAUGAGAAAUCAAAGUUUUUGGGUUCUGGGGGGAGUAUGGUCGCACGGCUGAAACUUAAAGGAAUUGACGGAAGGGCACCCCCCGGAGUGGAGCGCGCGGCUUAAUUUGACUCAACACGGGGAAACUCACCAGGUCCAGACAUGAUAAGGAUUGACAGAUUGAGAGCUCUUUCUUGAUAUUAUGGGUGGUGGUGCAUGGCCGUUCUUAGUUGGUGGAGUGAUUUGUCUGGUUUAUUCCGAUAACGAACGAGACCCUAACCCGUUAAAUAGUCACCCGAACCCUGUGUUUGGGGCCGACUUUUUAGAGGGACUGUGGA